UCGCCUACGGGGGGCAGCAGUGAGGAAUAUUGGUCAAUGGGCGCGAGCCUGAACCAGCCAAGUCGCGUGAGGGAUGACGGUCCUACGGAUUGUAAACCUCUUUUGCCGGGGAGCAAGCGUGCGUUCGUGAACGCGCGUCGAGAGUACCCGGAGAAAAAGCAUCGGCUAACUCCGUGCCAGCAGCCGCGGUAAUACGUAGGUGGCAAGCGUUAUCCGGAUUUAUUGGGUGUAAAGGGCGUGUAGGCGGG
RNAcentral lists this ribosomal RNA (248 nucleotides) under uncultured bacterium. RNAcentral describes it as "partial 16S ribosomal RNA". It matches the Rfam family "Bacterial small subunit ribosomal RNA", at positions 335 to 579 of the family's 1533-position model. The record is from RNAcentral.